RNAcentral lists this ribosomal RNA (420 nucleotides) under uncultured bacterium. RNAcentral's name for it is "bacterial SSU rRNA". It matches the Rfam family "Bacterial small subunit ribosomal RNA", at positions 355 to 774 of the family's 1533-position model. The record is from RNAcentral.
UAAGGAAUAUUGCUCAAUGGGAGAAAUCCUGAAGCAGCAACGCCGCGUGGAGGAUGAAGGGUCUAUGACUUGUAAACUCCUGUAAAGAAGGAAAAAAUUCCCAUUUGAUGGGAGAUGAUGGUACUUCUGGAGUAAGCCCCGGCUAACUACGUGCCAGCCGCCGCGGUAAUACGUAGGGGGCAAGCGUUGUCCGGAUUUACUGGGUGUAAAGGGUGCUCAGGCGGAUUUGUAAGUCAGAGGUGAAAUCGUACAGCUUAACUGUGAAACUGCCUUUGAUACUGCAAGCCUAGAGUAUGGAAGAGAGUGAUGGAAUAUCUGGUGUAGCAGUGAAAUGCGUAGAUAUCAGAUAGAACACCAAUGGCGAAGGCAGUCACUUGGUCCAUUACUGACGCUAAAGCACGAAAGCGUGGGUAGCAAACA